RNAcentral lists this ribosomal RNA (487 nucleotides) under Escherichia coli. RNAcentral's name for it is "bacterial LSU rRNA". It matches the Rfam family "Bacterial large subunit ribosomal RNA", at positions 957 to 1441 of the family's 2925-position model. The record is from RNAcentral. Lineage: Bacteria; Pseudomonadati; Pseudomonadota; Gammaproteobacteria; Enterobacterales; Enterobacteriaceae.
CGAAUACCGGAGAAUGUUAUCACGGGAGACACACGGCGGGUGCUAACGUCCGUCGUGAAGAGGGAAACAACCCAGACCGCCAGCUAAGGUCCCAAAGUCAUGGUUAAGUGGGAAACGAUGUGGGAAGGCCCAGACAGCCAGGAUGUUGGCUUAGAAGCAGCCAUCAUUUAAAGAAAGCGUAAUAGCUCACUGGUCGAGUCGGCCUGCGCGGAAGAUGUAACGGGGCUAAACCAUGCACCGAAGCUGCGGCAGCGACGCUGAUGCGUUGUUGGGUAGGGGAGCGUUCUGUAAGCCUGUGAAGGUGUGCUGUGAGGCAUGCUGGAGGUAUCAGAAGUGCGAAUGCUGACAUAAGUAACGAUAAAGCGGGUGAAAAGCCCGCUCGCCGGAAGACCAAGGGUUCCUGUCCAACGUUAAUCGGGGCAGGGUGAGUCGACCCCUAAGGCGAGGCCGAAAGGCGUAGUCGAUGGGAAACAGGUUAAUAUUCCUG